RNAcentral lists this unclassified non-coding RNA (1809 nucleotides) under Pectinophora gossypiella (pink bollworm). RNAcentral's name for it is "vesicular integral-membrane protein VIP36". The record is from RNAcentral. Lineage: Eukaryota; Metazoa; Arthropoda; Insecta; Lepidoptera; Gelechiidae.
UUGGUGUGACAACCCUAGUAGCGGCUGCCAUGAUUUGGCGUUUGUCUUGUCACGUAUAUCGUCUGCGAAAUUACGAAAAUGCCUCGCGAUAAUUUUAAAUGGACCUCUCUGCUCUCGUUCUUCAUAUUCUUUACUCCAAUCUUCGCAGAAUGGAACACAAGGGAUUACGUUCGGAGGGAACAUUCUCUCACAAAACCGUAUCAGGGGAGUGGAAUGUCGGUGCCUUACUGGGACUUCUUAGGUAGCACAAUAGUAACGUCAAAUUAUGUUCGGUUGACUCCUGAUUUGCAGUCGAAGUCUGGUGCUCUUUGGAACUCUGUGCCAUGUUACACGCGCAACUGGGAGUUGCAAGUGCAGUUUAAGGUGCACGGCAAAGGCAAGGAGCUAUUCGGCGAUGGGUUUGCGCUGUGGUACGUGCGCGACCGCAUGCAGACGGGGCCCGUGUUCGGGAGCAAGGACUACUUCCACGGCUUGGCCAUCAUAAUGGACACAUACAGCAACCAUAAUGGGGCGCAUAACCACCACCACCCUUAUAUAUCGGCGAUGAUAAACAACGGGUCGUUGCACUAUGACCACGACCGCGACGGCACUCACACGCAGCUCGCCGGCUGCGAGGGCAAGUUCCGCAACUUCAACCAUGACACGCAUCUCUCCAUCGUCUACAAGGAUGAUACGCUUAUAGUGUCAACAGACCUGGACGGCAAGAACGCGUGGAAGGAAUGCCUGCGAGUGGAGAAGGUGUUGCUGCCGACGGGGUAUUUCUUUGGGGCGUCGGCCACCACCGGCGACCUCAGCGACAACCACGACAUCAUCGCCAUCAAGAUGUUCGAGCUUGAUCUGCUCGACACGCAAGUGAAAGACGAAGACAGAUCGAACAUAAUCCCAUCAGCUGCGUCCUUCGAGGCCCCCAGAGAAAGAAUUGAGGACGAAAAGCCAGCCAUGUCUGGAGUCAAGACCUUCCUAUGGAUGAUGUGUGUCGCGAUCAUAAUCAUCGUCCUCGUCGUUCUUGGCAUCAUGUGGUACCAGAAGAAACAAGAACAGUCCAGAAAGAGAUUGUAUUGAUGAAGGUAAUUGUACAUAAAACGUAACGUUGACAGUUAACCCCGACGGAAAGCUUCGCCAAGACUGGAAAACACUGCGCGUUCAUUUGAGUGGAAUCGGAGCGCGGAGUGUCAGGAUUUCUAGAACCCCAGGGAUUCGAACCCGCGACACUACUUUGUAAGUCACGAGCUCUCCGACCUGAGCGGAUAAAGGAUAUUUCAGUGGCUAUACAUUAACCACCUUACAAAUAAAAAAUAAACCACGUAUGAACGUGGGUUUAAGUAUUUGACAGCGGGGCUUUUUGGCGGGAACGGGACAGUUGCUUUCUUCAUUGAAUAAUCUAAAUAAUCAAUACGAAGUGGUGUUUUGUGGUUAAUGAUCACAUUAGUCGGAAAACAUUCCCGAUAGUAUUAUUAAAUCGGAAUAUUCAAUAAACAAAGUGUACCUAUCUAUUUUCGCUUUGCGCUAACAAGCCGCUUACUUCGUUUGGGGUUCGGAGUAGGAGUCUGCUCCGAGGGUGGGGGCUUAGGUUUCAUCAUUUCAUUAAUCAUCAUCAAGAAAAAAAAACACAAGACAUGGCUGUAUGUUCAUAGUUCCCUUUGCCUUGCCCUUUGGGAAAAAAAAUAAGAUAAAUUUUGAAAUUCUUAUGUAUAAUAAACAAACAUCACAGACAUCAUGACAGAUCUAAAACUAAAUAAAAUCUUUUUUCUUUUUUCUAUUUGGCUUAUUUAUGAAUUUUAAUCAAGAAAACGUGAUAAUAAGUUCGAC